This 1336-nucleotide long non-coding RNA is filed under the name Equus caballus (horse). RNAcentral's name for it is "lncRNA (ENSECAG00000037863.3)". The record is from RNAcentral. Lineage: Eukaryota; Metazoa; Chordata; Mammalia; Perissodactyla; Equidae.
UAACAUUUAACAUAACACUAAUCUCAAAAAAAUCUUUAAAUAUUAGAAAGCUGUUAAGCUCAUGGUGAUGAACACAAGAUUUUUAGAAUUUUAAUUUUUGCUUGAAAUCUCAGAUUUUAACAUUGGCAAAAAUAUUGCCAGUUGUUUUCCUUAAAGUGGCAGCUUCCCUUUGUUCGUUUUGGGGAAAAUGUUUGCCAAAUACCCAAAUUUGAAUAUCCAUGGUUUUUGUCUGUCAGUCAUUUCUUCGAGUAAAAAUGGUGUUCCAAAAAUAACGUUCUAACUCAAAACAACUGCGUAACUUCUCUUUUUCAAAACAAUGUACUUUGGCUGCAGAAGUCCUUCAUGAAGCAGACUUCCUGUAUCAUCCCACAAAAUAUUAAAAAAUUGUACCAACUGCACAGUGGUGAAGAAUAAACACAAUGACAAGUCAGACAAUUUGGUGCCACUGCGUUGAUUUGCGUUAAGGCAUGAGCAGCUUUGCCCUCCAUUGCUUUUGUGCCAUCAGUGCAAAUGCCAAUGCAGCUAAAGAGAUAAAGAAACAGACUCCAAGUAAAUAAGUAACUUGCUCAACAUCCACAGUGAUUAACUGACAGAGCUACAGCUCAAACGCAGGUGUCCUGAUUCUUGGACUAAAGGACUUUCUGCCAACCCUGAGAGAACAUUCUGGCUGGAAUAGAAGGAAAUGAGACGAGCAGAGAGAGGCCUGGUAGGCUCUGAAGAGAAGCAGUCUCAGGCACUGAGGCAGAAGAGGGCCUCCGCUAGUGAGCACAGACCAACAGGACAGGAUUCCAGCCAAUGUUUAGCAUCUAUGUGGCCACAAGAAAAGCUUUAAAUAUCUCAACCUUCAGCUCUGCCUCUGGUAAGAGUCAGGAAUAAGAAUGAUGAUCUUGUCUGAACAAUCUGAAACCGAUUCCAGCCUCUACAGAAGGUUUUUGUGGUUUUGCACCCCAGAAGAAUCAGAGACCGAAAGUAGAACAGACUGAAAGAAAAACGUCUAAGGACCAAGUCUUACAGAGCCCUGACUCAACAAAACGGAUGCGGUCUACCCGGCUGACCUGGAGAGCAGUCCCAGACCAGCACAGAAUUUGGAACAAAUGCUUCCCGCGACACGAGGCUGCUUCUUUUCCAAACUGGCCUUGAAAAAAAUACACAGAAAAAUGACCACCAAGAACCUUGACUAAAGAACCAGCAGUCUGUGCAGAGUUUGAAUUCACCAUUAGCGCCCAGGGUAACCUCAGUCCACAGAAUGUAAGAAGACAAGUGAGGCAAUGUUUGUGGAGCCCAGCGGCUGAACCCGCUCUACCAUGGAAGAAAUGCCCCAAUUGUCCUUCCUAAG